This 238-nucleotide ribosomal RNA is filed under the name uncultured bacterium. Its description in RNAcentral is "partial 16S ribosomal RNA". It matches the Rfam family "Bacterial small subunit ribosomal RNA", at positions 15 to 244 of the family's 1533-position model. The record is from RNAcentral.
GAUCAUGGCUCAGGAUGAACGCUAGCUACAGGCUUAACACAUGCAAGUCGAGGGGCAGCGGGAAGUCAGCUUGCUGACUUUGCCGGCGACCGGCGCACGGGUGAGUAACACGUAUCCAACCUUCCCGUUACUCUGGAAUAGCCUUUCGAAAGAAAGAUUAAUACCCAAUGAUAUCCCACGAAGGCAUCCGAAUGGGAUUAAAGAUUUAUCGGUGAUGGAUGGGGAUGCGUCUGAUUAG